Molecule: RNase P RNA, 375 nt
Filed under: Halovulum dunhuangense
Lineage: Bacteria; Pseudomonadati; Pseudomonadota; Alphaproteobacteria; Rhodobacterales; Paracoccaceae
Description: Bacterial RNase P class A
Rfam family: Bacterial RNase P class A
About the family: Ribonuclease P (RNase P) is a ubiquitous endoribonuclease, found in archaea, bacteria and eukarya as well as chloroplasts and mitochondria. Its best characterised activity is the generation of mature 5'-ends of tRNAs by cleaving the 5'-leader elements of precursor-tRNAs.
Source: Rfam by way of RNAcentral
GCGGAUGGCUGGAUGGCCGCGUCCCCGAAAGGGGCCGAGGAAAGUCCGGACUCCACGGAGGAACGGCGCCGGGUAACGCCCGGCCGGCGAGAGCCGAGGGAAAGCGCCACAGAGAACAGACCGCCCCCGGCGAAAACCGGGGGUAAGGGUGAAACGGUGGGGUAAGAGCCCACCGCGCGACUGGCAACAGGAGCGGCACGGCAAGCCCCGCCGGGAGCAAGGCCAAAUAGGGACCGCGCGCGGGAAACCGCAGGGGCGCCUCUGCCCCGAGCAGGUCCGGGUUGGCUGCUUGAGCCAGGCAGCGAUGCCUGGCCCAGAGGAAUGGUCAUCGGGGCGCAAGCCCUACAGAAUCCGGCUUACAGGCCAUCCGCACAA